GACGAACGCUGGCGGCGUGCUUAACACAUGCAAGUCGAACGGAAAGGCCCUGCUUUUGUGGGGUGCUCGAGUGGCGAACGGGUGAGUAACACGUGAGUAACCUGCCCUUGACUUUGGGAUAACUUCAGGAAACUGGGGCUAAUACCGGAUAGGAGCUCCUGCUGCAUGGUGGGGGUUGGAAAGUUUCGGCGGUUGGGGAUGGACUCGCGGCUUAUCAGCUUGUUGGUGGGGUAGUGGCUUACCAAGGCUUUGACGGGUAGCCGGCCUGAGAGGGUGACCGGCCAAAUGGGGACUGAGAUACGGCCCAGACCCCUACGGGGGGCAGGAGUGGGGAAUAUUGCACAAUGGGCGGAAGCCUGAUGCAGAAACGCCGGGGGCGGGAUGACGGCCUUCGGGUUGUAAACCGCUUUCGCCUGUGACGAAGCGUGAGUGACGGUAAUGGGGAAAGAAGCACCGGCUAACUACGU
RNAcentral lists this ribosomal RNA (467 nucleotides) under uncultured bacterium. RNAcentral describes it as "partial 16S ribosomal RNA". It matches the Rfam family "Bacterial small subunit ribosomal RNA", at positions 28 to 506 of the family's 1533-position model. The record is from RNAcentral.